RNAcentral lists this ribosomal RNA (600 nucleotides) under Hypocreales sp. CJ-2013. Its description in RNAcentral is "eukaryotic LSU rRNA". It matches the Rfam family "Eukaryotic large subunit ribosomal RNA", at positions 31 to 655 of the family's 3401-position model. Lineage: Eukaryota; Fungi; Ascomycota; Sordariomycetes; Hypocreales. The record is from RNAcentral.
GACUUAAGCAUAUCAAUAAGCGGAGGAAAAGAAACCAACAGGGAUUGCCUCAGUAACGGCGAGUGAAGCGGCAACAGCUCAAAUUUGAAAUCUGGCCCUUGUGGUCCGAGUUGUAAUUUGCAGAGGAUGCUUUUGGCGCGGUGCCUUCCGAGUUCCCUGGAACGGGACGCCACAGAGGGUGAGAGCCCCGUCUGGUUGGACACCAAGCCUCUGUAAAGCUCCUUCGACGAGUCGAGUAGUUUGGGAAUGCUGCUCUAAAUGGGAGGUAUAUGUCUUCUAAAGCUAAAUACCGGCCAGAGACCGAUAGCGCACAAGUAGAGUGAUCGAAAGAUGAAAAGCACUUUGAAAAGAGGGUUAAACAGUACGUGAAAUUGUUGAAAGGGAAGCACUUGUGAUCAGACUUGGGCUCGGUAGAUCAUCCAGCGUUCUCGCUGGUGCACUCUACCGGUCCAGGCCAGCAUCAGUUCGUAGCGGGGGAUAAAGGCGGCGGGAACGUGGCUCCCCUGGGAGUGUUAUAGCCCGCCGUGUAAUACCCUGCGUCGGACUGAGGUUCGCGCUUCCGCAAGGAUGCUGGCGUAAUGGUCACCAGUGACCCGUCUU